Molecule: ribosomal RNA, 492 nt
Filed under: uncultured bacterium
Lineage: Bacteria
Description: partial 16S ribosomal RNA
Rfam family: Bacterial small subunit ribosomal RNA
Source: RNAcentral
AGUGAACGCUGGCGGUAGGCCUAACACAUGCAAGUCGAACGGCAGCACAGUAAGAGCUUGCUCUUACGGGUGGCGAGUGGCGGACGGGUGAGGAAUACAUCGGAAUCUACUUUUUCGUGGGGGAUAACGUAGGGAAACUUACGCUAAUACCGCAUACGACCUACGGGUGAAAGCAGGGGAUCUUCGGACCUUGCGCGAUUGAAUGAGCCGACGUCGGAUUAGCUAGUUGGCGGGGUAAAGGCCCACCAAGGCGACGAUCCGUAGCUGGUCUGAGAGGAUGAUCAGCCACACUGGAACUGAGACACGGUCCAGACUCCUACGGGAGGCAGCAGUGGGGAAUAUUGGACAAUGGGCGCAAGCCUGAUCCAGCCAUACUGCGUGGGUGAAGAAGGCCUUCGGGUUGUAAAGCCCUUUUGUUGGGAAAGAAAAGCAGCAGGUUAAUACCCCGCUGUUCUGACGGUACCCAAAGAAUAAGCACCGGCUAACUUCGUG